AUAGCUACUUGCAUCAUUGUAAAUAUGAUGCAAGAUCGACUAUGUCGAAUAAAAUUCUAGGUAGAAUUAUGAUAAUGACAUUGUCUGCCUAUGUGUCUUGACCAAAUUACGUGCCAGCAGUCGCGGUAAUACGUAGAAGACUAGUGUUAUUCAUGUUUAAUCGGUUUAAAGGGUACCUAGACGGUAAAUCAAGCCUAAAAGGAAAGAAAUGAAGGGACUAAUUUACUAGAGUUACUUAUGAGGGGGUAUUAAAGUACUGCUGGUGUAGAGAUGAAAUUCUGUCAUACCUCUUUUCAAUAGAAAAAUAAUGGCACAGGUAUAGGCGAAAGCAUCCCCUUAUGUGAUAACUGACGUUGAGGGACGAAGGCUUUGUGUAGCGAACAGGAUUAGAUACCCCAGUAGUCAAAGCAGAAAAUGAUGAAUGUCAUAGAUUAGAUAUAUAAGUUUAUUCUAUAAAUGAAAGUGUAAGCAUUCCMCCUCAAGAGUAAUUUGGCAACAUUGGAACUGAAAUCAUUAGACCGUUUCUGAAACCAGUAGUGAAGUAUGUUGUUUAAUUUGAUGAUCCGCAAAAAACCUUACCACAAUUUGAAUAUUUAUAUCUUAUAUUGUUUUUUUUUUUAACUUUAUUCUAAUUUUCUACUUAAAAGAAAACAAUAACAAGAAAAAAGAGACAAGAAGAUAUAUUUACAAGCGUUGCACGGCUGUCUUCAGUUAAUGUCGCGAGACUAUGGUUAGUUCCAUUAAAUUAACGUAAACCCUUACUUUAUUUUUAUAUAGAGUAGUUCCCCGCUAUAUUGGAUAUGAUAACAGGGACUAAGACAAGUCAUC
RNAcentral lists this ribosomal RNA (828 nucleotides) under Cetraria islandica subsp. islandica. Its description in RNAcentral is "SSU rRNA". It matches the Rfam family "Bacterial small subunit ribosomal RNA", at positions 378 to 1194 of the family's 1533-position model. The record is from RNAcentral. Lineage: Eukaryota; Fungi; Ascomycota; Lecanoromycetes; Lecanorales; Parmeliaceae.